GGAUGAACGCUGACAGAAUGCUUAACACAUGCAAGUCUAUGAGAAGAUCUACUUCGGUAGAAGGUAUCAUGGCGGACGGGUGAGUAACGCGUAAAGAACUUGCCUCUUAGACUGGGAUAACAGAUGGAAACGUCUGAUAAGACUAGAUAUAAUAGCGACAUGGCAUCAUGUUGUUAUGAAAGGUAACACUAAGAGAGAGCUUUGCGUCCUAUUAGUUAGUUGGUGAGGUAAUGGCUCACCAAGACGAUGAUAGGUAGCCGGCCUGAGAGGGUGAACGGCCACAAGGGGACUGAGAUACGGCCCUUACUCUUACGGGAGGCAGCAGUGGGGAAUAUUGGACAAUGGAGGAAACUCUGAUCCAGCAAUUCUGUGUGCACGAUGAAGGUUUUCGGAUCGUAAAGUGCUUUCAGUAGGGAAGAAGAAAGUGACGGUACCUACAGAAGAAGCGACGGCUAAAUACGUGCCAGCAGCCGCGGUAAUACGUAUGUCGCAAGCGUUAUCCGGAAUUAUUGGGCGUAAAGGGCAUCUAGGCGGUCAAUCAAGUCGAAGGUGAAAACUUGUGGCUCAACCAUAAGCUUGCCUACGAAACUGAUUAACUAGAGUACUGGAGAGGUGGACGGAACUACACGAGUAGAGGUGAAAUUCGUAGAUAUGUGUAGGAAUGCCGAUGAUGAAGAUAGUUCACUGGACAGAAACUGACGCUGAAGUGCGAAAGCUAGGGGAGCAAACAGGAUUAGAUACCCUGGUAGUCCUAGCCCUAAACGAUGUAGACUUGGCGUCGGUGGUUUAAUCGCCAUCGGUGUCGUAGCUAACGCGAUAAGUCUACCGCCUGGGGACUACGGCCGCAAGGUUAAAACUCAAAGGAAUUGACGGGUCCCCGCACAAGCAGCGGAGCGUGUGGUUUAAUUCGAUGCUACACGAAGAACCUUACCUGGGUUUGACAUAGAGGUAGUAGGGAAGCGAAAGCGGACCGACCCUUCGGGGAGCCUCUACAGGUGUUGCAUGGCUGUCGUCAGCUCGUGUCGUGAGAUGUUCGGUUAAGUCCGCUAACGAGCGCAACCCUCGCUGUGUGUUACAAGUGUCACACGGUACUGCCGAUAUUAAGUCGGAGGAAGGUGGGGAUGACGUCAAGUCAGCAUGACCUUUAUAUCCAGGGCUACACACACGCUACAAUGGCCAGUACAAUGGGUUGCCAAGCCGCGAGGCGGAGCCAAUCCUAAAAAGCUGGCCUCAGUUCAGAUUGCAGUCUGCAACUCGACUGCAUGAAGUUGGAGUUGCUAGUAACCGCAGGUCAGCAAUACUGCGGUGAAUACGUUCCCGGGGAU
Molecule: ribosomal RNA, 1325 nt
Filed under: uncultured bacterium
Lineage: Bacteria
Description: bacterial SSU rRNA
Rfam family: Bacterial small subunit ribosomal RNA
Source: RNAcentral